ACUCCAAAACCCAUUUAUUUUUGGUAUUUGUGAAUUUUACCACAAAAAUUGCUGCAUUUGAAAAUUAUGAAAAAUAUGAUAUGCUUGUAUGUUUUACACAAAGCAAUUAAAAUGCUGAAGAAGUUUCAGAAUUAUAUUUCCAUAGAUAUCCAGAGAGAAGGCAACCAUUUUUUGGUAUAUUUCCUCGUUUAAAGGACAAUUUACUUGAGCACGGAUCUUUUGUUUAGCCGCGUCCUAAAGCAUUCAAUAAAGAAAAAAGGGAAAAAAAAGAAAGAGAUGCUUUAGGUUAUAUAGCAGCGACACCCUCGAGCUCAUGCAGAAAAAUCGAAAAAGAACUUGGAGUGUCAAAAACUGACGCUCAACUAGAUGGUACCUAGACAUACUUGAGGAAGUUAUUCCAGGACUUCAGGAAAAUAUCCCUUUAGCCCAAUAUAACUAUCGACCUAUAAAAAGAUGGUGCCCCAAGUCAUACUCUGGGCUAAUAAGGGCAUUUUUUAAAAAUAACUUUGCUCAAAGAUGGAUAGGUACAAACGGACCUGUUAGAUAGUCUCCACGGUCCCCCAAUCUCUCGAUUUUAGAUUUUUUUUAUGGGGGUAUAUACAAGAUCAAGUGUAUAAAAGACAAUGCAAUAAUCUAAUUUCAAGACGCAAUUCAUUUAGCAUUUCAAAAUCUGAGAAGGAGACAAAUUAUUAUUUUGAAUGCUAUUCAAAGGGUUACAAGGAAGGAUGCUAAUUUUGCAUCAGAGAAGAUGGUGGUCAUUUUGAACAUCUAAUAUAAUAAUGUUGUUUCGUUACAUUGUUGUUUGUUAUAUAGUUGUUUUCUUAUAGUGUUUAUUAAAUUUAUAUGCUUGUUU
This is a long non-coding RNA of Anthonomus grandis grandis, 853 nucleotides long. RefSeq lists it as uncharacterized. NCBI's taxonomy places the organism in Eukaryota, Metazoa, Arthropoda, Insecta, Coleoptera, Curculionidae. The transcript has 2 exons. The record is from RefSeq and is a predicted model, not a curated record.